UUAGAGAAGAUAUCAACAAUAUCAAACACAUAUAUCCUUAAAAUAUCAACUUUCUGCCUCUCUGAAAUUGGUGGACUAAUAUGAUUUAUAUUACAUACUUGUCUUUGAUUAUAUACUGAGUGAUAUUGUGUAAACCUUGUGUUCCACAGAACAAUCUGUCAGACUCUAUAGAGCUACGAGGGAGCAACAACGGGGAAAAGUGACAUGUUUCAAAAUUGACCAAUAGGGGGAGACAGCAGUCCAGAAACUUAUCAGUAAGCACUGCUUCGUUAUCAAGCCACUACAUAGAGGAAACCCUGUGACGGCCAGCACUGAGACAUCAGAGGUGUGGUUGGGCAUGUUCUCGCCUCCACAUCGUGACUGCGGAAGGUUUGAGUAGGCCCACGGACUGUAUUCCAGUUAAAUAUGGCCAGGGGAGGAGGGGUGGACGUGAAUCUCACAGCUUACACGGAGCACCCGGCUGUGGGCGAAGGUCUUGGGAAACUUCUCAGCUUGAGUUCGAGCCUUGGCGUCAAAAUUUUGAGGUUUCCGUUUUCACCGUCCUCUUUAUCAUCAUCGGAGCAUAAACUGAUUGACGACUAACCUGCAAUUAGUUUGACAAGACAACCCCCAUCUGAGUGGCCUGUGAUCAUCUGAAUGAGUCAAAGAUGUAUGCUCGCCAGAUCCUGCUCUAAAACACAAACAAUGAUGCUAUAUUAUGUUCUCUUAGCUUCUAGGUUAGGUUAAUAUGAAAUAUAGUAGAAAUAUGAUAUGAUGCAUAGGCUCUUUUCUCUUCCAUGCUGUUCAAAAUGAGAAGACAAGAGAACAUGUAAUUGAAGUUCUAUACAUGUAUGUUGAUCCUUUUGGGUCAGGAAACAAUAAUAAGGUAUAACAAGGGUAAAGGAAAUGUGUCUAAAUGUGUCCAUAUUUACUGUAACUGUAAGAGCAAUAAUUAAGCUAUUUCAACUUCUAGGCCUGUGACAAGAAAAAAAAACAAACAACUGGAUGAGGACCCAGUUUUAUCUUUUUAUUCAUACUAAUUGAGAACACCUGUGUUGGAAAACUGCAGGCAAUAUGGUGAUGUUUGUUUGAAGCAACAUCAACUGUUUUAGAUGGUAAUUAAGAUGUUUUAGGAAAGUCAUGAAGAAACUAAAACUGAGUUGGUAAAUUGCCAAAAAUUAAAAAAUAAAAAACAGUAGAUGCCAGUUGCACUUCUGUUUAAAAAAACAAUGUUGUUGAGACAAAAAUAGUAAAUUUCCCAUCCCAGGAGUUGUCUAGACUGCUUACUAUAGUUAUAAAUGUCCAAUCAGCCCAAGCAGAAAAACAUUAUUAUUAUUUAAGUUGUUUAAUUAUUGAAAGCCACACCACAUUAUUAGAUGUCUUUUUCUUCUGAUAUUGUCCAACCCUUUAUUAGACACUAUGCAAGUAUCAGGUAGGUGUUUUGGAGUGCUGUCCCGCAAUUGGAGACAUAGACUUGCACUAGUUGCUAAACACUACUGAAACUUUCACUUGAACUGUAUGCCACAAGCUAAAGUGAACAGAUUAAAUUAAGCUUUUUGACAUCAGUUUAACAACAGGCAAAUGUAAAGGAAAACAUGUCAAGCUCCCUUUUAAGUAUAGAAAAGGAUGAAGGUCAGAAGUUUAGUGAUAUUUUAAACUUAAAUAAUAAUAAUAUUGGUAGAAGUGCUCCUGUGUUUACCUGCUACUAGAUCAAUACCACAGCAUACAGUAUUCCAAGGC
Molecule: long non-coding RNA, 1719 nt
Organism: Xiphophorus hellerii (green swordtail)
Lineage: Eukaryota; Metazoa; Chordata; Actinopteri; Cyprinodontiformes; Poeciliidae
Exons: 3
Source: RefSeq, a predicted model, not a curated record